GAGAGUUAAACAGUACGUGAAAUUGUUGAAAGGGAAACGAUUGAAGCCAGUCGUACCUUCGGGUAAUCAGCCUUUCGGGGCUACCUGUCUGAUCUCUGAUUGUUGCUUUGGUGCUGAAAGCGUGCUUAUAGUUAUCAAAGUCGAUGGUCAAUAGGUUAGAAUGGGUUAAAUUCGUUAAGGAUGUUGACGUAAUGGCUUUAAACGACCCGUCUUGAAACACGGCUGUCUCUUAUACACAUCUCCGAGCCCACGA
This 253-nucleotide ribosomal RNA is filed under the name uncultured Rhizophagus. RNAcentral's name for it is "partial 28S ribosomal RNA". The stretch from base 1 to 222 matches the Rfam family "Eukaryotic large subunit ribosomal RNA", at positions 383 to 664 of the family's 3401-position model. The record is from RNAcentral. Lineage: Eukaryota; Fungi; Glomeromycota; Glomeromycetes; Glomerales; Glomeraceae.